RNAcentral lists this ribosomal RNA (468 nucleotides) under uncultured bacterium. RNAcentral describes it as "partial 16S ribosomal RNA". It matches the Rfam family "Bacterial small subunit ribosomal RNA", at positions 28 to 507 of the family's 1533-position model. The record is from RNAcentral.
GACGAACGCUGGCGGCGUGCUUAACACAUGCAAGUCGAACGGAAAGGCCCUGCUUUUGUGGGGUGCUCGAGUGGCGAACGGGUGAGUAACACGUGAGUAACCUGCCCUUGACUUUGGGAUAACUUCAGGAAACUGGGGCUAAUACCGGAUAGGAGCUCCUGCUGCAUGGUGGGGGUUGGAAAGUUUCGGCGGUUGGGGAUGGACUCGCGGCUUAUCAGCUUGUUGGUGGGGUAGUGGCGUACCAAGGCUUUGACGGGUAGCCGGCCUGAGAGGGUGACCGGCCACAAUGGGACUGCGAUAGGGACCAGACGGCAACGGGGGGCAGCAGGCGGGAAUAUUGCACAAUGGGCGGAAGCCUGAUGCAGCAACGCCGCGUGCGGGAUGACGGCCUUCGGGUUGUAAACCGCUUUCGCCUGUGACGAAGCGUGAGUGACGGUAAUGGGUAAAGAAGCACCGGCUAACUACGUG